RNAcentral lists this ribosomal RNA (164 nucleotides) under uncultured bacterium. RNAcentral describes it as "partial 16S rRNA". It matches the Rfam family "Bacterial small subunit ribosomal RNA", at positions 355 to 511 of the family's 1533-position model. The record is from RNAcentral.
UAGGGAAUCUUCCACAAUGGACGAAAGUCUGAUGGAGCAACGCCGCGUGAGUGAAGAAGGUUUUCGGAUCGUAAAACUCUGUUGUUAGAGAAGAACAUGCAGGAGAGUAACUGUUCUUGUAUUGACGGUAUCUAACCAGAAAGCCACGGCUAACUACGUGCCAG